UGAGGCACAGGAAGUGAGGUGGAGAACAGACUCUGGAGUUCACUCACUUCCUGUGGACAGGGCUAGAGUCAGUUAGAUUCUGGAGCUCGAGCUGGGAGGAGGCCCACAGACAGCUUUCCUUCAAAUCAGUCAUGGGAAAAGUCUUUAACCAGAUGAGAUCAUAGUAUUACCAUGAUAUUAAUUGAUGAUAGCAUGAAGAGAAGGGAUAAGGAGAGGUGAGAGGAGACUACUGAACAGAUCUCUGAAGGAAGUCACAAAUUCCAAAAAGUGGACAUGAGGAAGGAGAGUAUUCCAGGUAUUCUUCAGCAGCAAUUGACCUCUACUUAUCCACUUCACCUGGUUCAUGUAUUUUGAAGCUAAUAGUAAGCUAAAAAAUGCAGAAGAGAAGAAAAAGAAAUAUGAACAGUUGUUGAAUAAUUCCUACAAAGGAAAGUUUAAAUACCUGGAAAGUUACAUCUACAGAAAUCAAGAUUCGUCCCUUCUGAAAGAAAUGUCAGGAGUAUGGGUGCCAGAUGAUAAGAAACAAAGAAGGACUUCCUGA
This 541-nucleotide long non-coding RNA is filed under the name Monodelphis domestica (gray short-tailed opossum). Its description in RNAcentral is "lncRNA (ENSMODG00000049112.1)". Lineage: Eukaryota; Metazoa; Chordata; Mammalia; Didelphimorphia; Didelphidae. The record is from RNAcentral.